This 524-nucleotide ribosomal RNA is filed under the name uncultured bacterium. Its description in RNAcentral is "partial 16S ribosomal RNA". It matches the Rfam family "Bacterial small subunit ribosomal RNA", at positions 28 to 523 of the family's 1533-position model. The record is from RNAcentral.
GACGAACGCUGGCGGCGUGCCUAAUACAUGCAAGUCGAGCGCAGGAAAUCAUCCGAACCCUUCGGGGGGACGUUGAUGGAAUGAGCGGCGGACGGGUGAGUAACACGUAAAGAACCUGCCCUCAGGUCUGGGAUAACCACGAGAAAUCGGGGCUAAUUCCGGAUGGGUCAUCGGACCGCAUGGUCCGAGGAUGAAAGGCGCUUCGGCGUCGCCGGGGGAUGGCUUUGCGGUGCAUUAGCUAGUUGGUGGGGUAAUGGCCCACCAAGGCGACGAUGCAUAGCCGACCUGAGAGGGUGAUCGGCCACACUGGGACUGAGACACGGCCCAGACUCCUACGGGAGGCAGCAGUAGGGAAUCUUCCACAAUGGACGAAAGUCUGAUGGAGCAACGCCGCGUGAACGAUGAAGGCCUUCGGGUCGUAAAGUUCUGUUGUAAGGGAAGAACAAGUGCCGCAGGCAAUGGCGGCACCUUGACGGUACCUUGCGAGAAAGCCACGGCUAACUACGUGCCAGCCGCCGCGGUAA